UUGUUUUUUGGGGAUUACAUGUUUCCAGAUGAAGAUAUUAGAGUGUAUGAUGAAGUACAAGAUUUAGAACAAUUAUCAGAAGUCAUGAAUGGAUACCUAAAUGAUUAUAAUCAGAUGAGCAAAACUCCUAUGCAUUUGGUUUUAUUUAAAUUUGCCAUCGAGCAUAUUUCACGUAUAUCUCGAGUUUUAAAGCAAGAUAAUGGCCAUGUUCUUCUUGUUGGUAUUGGUGGAAGUGGAAGACAAAGUGCUGCUAGAUUAGCAACAUACAUGGCAGGCUAUGAGAUAUUUCAGAUUGAGAUAACAAAAAAUUAUACAAAUACUGAAUGGCGUGAUGACCUUAAAAAGGUCCUCCGAAAAGCUGGGGCAGAUGGAAAAGCAACUGUCUUCCUUUUCAAUGAUAACCAAAUAAAAGAUGAAUCAUUUGUGGAAGACAUCAAUAUGAUUUUAAACACAGGAGAUGUUCCUAACCUUUAUGCUGCAGAUGAAAAAGCAGAGAUUUUAGAAAAGAUGCAGACAGCUGCCAGAGACUGUGGCAAGAAAGUUGAUACUACUCCUCUGUCUCUGUAUAAUUUUUUUAUAGAAAGGGUGCGUCAAAAUCUUCAUUUAGUACUUGCAAUGAGUCCUAUUGGUGGAGCUUUCCGUAAUAGGUUGAGGAUGUUUCCAUCUCUCAUAAACUGUUGCACCAUCGAUUGGUUUCAGUCUUGGCCUGAUGAUGCUUUGGAAAUGGUGGCUAAUAAAUUUCUUCAGAGUGCUGAUAUUGAUUCUAAAAUCCGAUUAGCUUGUGUUAAAAUGUGCAAGCACUUCCAUCAAAGUGUAUACAAUAUGUCUGAGAGAUAUUACUUUGAGCUGCAACGAAAAAAUUAUGUAACACCUACAUCAUAUUUAGGACUCAUUCUAACAUUUAAAGAACUUUUAGCUAAAAAGCAAGGUGAUUUGCUAAACCAAAGGAACCGUUAUAUUGUUGGUUUAGAAAAAUUAGACUUUGCUGCCUCUCAAAUAGCUAUAAUGCAAGAUCAGAUUACUGCCUUACAACCAGAACUUGUGAAAAAAGCUGAAGAAAUUGAGAGUCUUAUGGUUGUAAUAGAAGCAGAAACUGUAGAUGUUGAGUCCCAAAAAGAGUUAGUUGCUGCAGAAGAAGCUGUAGCUAAUAAGAAAGCUGCUCAAGCACAAGCUAUUAAAGAUGAUUGUGAACGAGAUUUAGCUGAAGCUAUACCAGCUAUGGAAGCUGCUGUUGCUGCUUUGAAUACACUGAAGCCUGCUGAUAUUACUGUUGUCAAGGCAAUGAAAAACCCUCCUCCUGGUGUGAAGCUUGUAAUGGAAGCUAUCUGUAUUAUGCGAGGUAUAAAGCCAGAACGAAAGCCUGAUCCCAGUGGUUCUGGCAAAAUGAUUGAAGAUUAUUGGGGUCCUUCUCAAAAAAUGUUAGGUGAUCUGAAAUUUUUGGAUGCUUUAAAAUCAUAUGACAAAGAUAACAUCCCAGAACCCAUCAUUCAGAGAAUUCGUCAAAAGUACUGUACAAAUCCAGAUUUUGACCCUGCUGUUAUAAAAAAAGUAUCAGUGGCUUGUGAAGGAUUAUGUCGUUGGGUAAGAGCUAUGGAUGUAUAUAAUCGUGUCAAUAAAGUUGUUGCCCCGAAAAAGAUAAAGCUGAAAGAAGCUACAGCUGAAGUUGCAGUUCAGAUGAAAGCUUUAAAUGAAAAGAAAAAAGCUCUGAAAGCUGUCACAGAUAAGCUGCAGGAACUCAAUGACACAUUUACUAGCAAAACCAAAGAAAAAAAAGAUUUGGAAGAGAAUUUAGAGCUUUGUGAACAAAAGAAAGAGCGAGCUACAAAAAUGAUUGAUGGUUUGGGUGGUGAAAAGGACAGAUGGAGUGCAGCAGCUGAAAGUCUUACUCUUGCUUAUAAUAAUAUUGUUGGUGAUGUUCUUCUGUCUUCAGGAGUUAUUGCUUAUUUAGGAGCAUUUACAGUUGAUUUCAGACAGGAAUGUACAUCAUCAUGGAAAUAUCUCUGCAAAGAAUCAGGUAUACCAUGUUCCGAUGAUUUUUCAGUCAUAGAAACAUUAGGUGAGCCUGUAUUAAUCAGAGCUUGGCAAAUUGCUGGACUACCUGUUGAUAAUUUUUCUGUGGAAAACAGUAUCAUUGUAAAAUUUGGAAGAAGAUGGCCUUUACUUAUAGAUCCUCAAGGGCAAGCAAGCAAAUGGAUUAAAAAUAUGGAAAAAGACAAUAACUUAGAUGUAAUAAAAUUAACAGAUAGCAAUUAUAUACGUGUUUUAGAAUAUGCUUUGCAGUUUGGUCAUCCUGUUCUGCUUGAAAAUGUUGGAGAAGAAUUAGAUCCAAUUCUAGAACCUAUACUGACUAAAGCAAUUUAUAAAGAAGGAGGAAUGGAGAUGAUAAAAAUUGGUGAUAAUGUGGUACAAUAUUCACAAGGUUUCAGGUUUUACAUCACAACCAGACUACAGAAUCCUCACUAUUUACCUGAAAUUUCUGUUAAGGUGACCUUGAUUAAUUUCAUGAUUACUCCACUUGGACUGCAAGAUCAACUGUUAGGCAUAGUUGCUGCAAAAGAAAAUCCAGCUCUAGAAGAAAGUAAAAAUAAAUUGAUAUUAGAGAGUGCAGAAAACAAGCGUCAGUUGAAGGAAAUUGAAGAUCGUAUUUUGGAAGUACUUUCAUCCUCUGAGGGUAAUAUAUUGGAAGAUGAAACAGGGUGCAAAGUAUUAACAUCUUCAAAGAUAUUAUCUGAAGAAAUAUCUGCUAAGGAGAAAGUUGCUGAAGAAACCAAAGUAGAAAUUGAUUCUGUUCGUUAUGGUUAUCAACCUGUUGCUGUGCAUUCUUCAAUCCUUUUCUUCUGUAUUUCAAGUCUAAGUAAUAUUGACCCAAUGUAUCAGUAUUCCCUUGCAUGGUUCAUAGCUUUAUAUUAUCAAUCUAUUGAAAAUAGUGAAAAGUCUCCUGAACUUGAAAAACGAAUCAGCUGCUUGAAUGAGCAUUUUACUGCCAGUAUAUACAGGAAUGUCUGUAGAUCCUUAUUUGAAAAAGAUAAACUACUUUUCUCCUUUCUUCUUUGUAUAGGUAUCUUACGUGGAAGGAAUGAAGUAGAUGAAGAUACAUGGCGAUUUCUGCUGACUGGUGGUGUUGCUUUAGAAAAUCCAUAUCCAAAUCCUGCUCCAGAGUGGCUCACUGAUCGUGCAUGGUCAGAAAUUGUACGAGCUUCUAAUUUACCUCCAUUAGAAGGAUUAAUGGAAAGUGUUCAGAAUAGAGUUUCUAGUUGGAAAGAAGUAUAUGAUUCACCUAAUCCACAUACCAUUGAGUAUCCUGCUCCAUUUGGGGAAUUAGAUGGGCUUAAUAAAAUGGCUGUACUGCGAUGUCUUCGACCAGAUAAGCUCAUUCCAGCUGUGCAGAAUUUUGUCUGGAAAAACAUGGGUCAGUCUUAUAUUGAACCUCCAACUUUUGAUUUGGUUGGAUCAUAUGCAGAUUCCAACUGCUGCAUACCUCUCAUCUUUGUUCUUUCACCUGGAGCUGAUCCAAUGGCUGCUUUAUUGAAAUUUGGAUAUGACAUUGACAUGACAGGCAACAAAAUUCAAAGCAUAUCUUUGGGACAAGGACAAGGUCCCAUAGCAAAAUCUAUGAUAGAUAAAGCUUUAGAAGAUGGUUCUUGGGUAGUUCUGCAAAACUGCCACUUAGCUACAAGCUGGAUGAAUACAUUAGAAAACAUAUGUGAAGAAAUCAUAACUCCAGAUAAGACUAACAUAAAUUUCCGCUUAUGGCUAACUAGUUAUCCAUCAGACACUUUUCCUGUCUCCAUCCUCCAAAAUGGGGUGAAGAUGACAAAUGAACCACCAAAAGGACUGAAAGCCAACCUUUUGCGCUCAUACAUCAGUGAUCCUAUAUCAAAUCCUUCUUUUUAUGAUGGCUGUGAUAAGCCAGAAUUAUGGCAUAAGUUUCUGUUUGGCCUGUGUUUCUUCCAUGCUUUAGUGCAAGAAAGAAGAAAAUUUGGUCCGUUAGGGUGGAAUAUUCCAUAUGAAUUCAAUGAAUCAGACUUGAGAAUCAGUAUGACACAACUUCAGAUGUUCUUGAAUGAUUAUGAUGAAUUACCUUUAGAUGCUUUGACAUAUUUAACAGGAGAAUGCAAUUAUGGUGGACGCGUAACAGAUGAUAAAGACCGUAGACUUCUAUUGUCACUGCUAUCUUUAGUGUACACCAAAGAUCUUAUAACUGAUGAAUGUUAUAAGUUUUCAGAAAGUGGCCUUUAUCAUAUUCCUAAAGGACAUGAAAGAGAAGAUUUUAUAGAAUAUAUACGCAAUUUACCUAUUAAUCCACAUCCUGAAGUGUUUGGUCUGCAUGAAAAUGCUGAUAUUACAAAAGAUAAUCAAGAAACACAACAACUUUUAGAUGGAAUUUUGUUAACUCAAGCUAGAUCUACUGGAGCUGGAGCACAAACUUCCGGUGAUAUGAUAUAUGAUUUAGCUGCUGAUAUUCUAGGAAAAUUGCCACCAGAUUUUGAUAUUGAAAUGGUGAUAGAACUUUAUCCAGUAGUUUACACAGAGUCAAUGAACACUGUACUGCGCCAAGAAUUGAUCCGUUUCAAUAGGUUAACCUCUGUUGUCCGUGAAUCAUUAAAAAAUUUACAAAAAGCAGUCAAGGGCUUGGUUGUUAUGUCUGCCGAACUUGAAGAAGUAUUUGAUUGCAUGUUGAUAGGAAAAGUGCCAACAAUGUGGGCAAGCAAAUCAUAUCCUUCCUUAAAGCCCUUGGGCAGUUACAUGGCAGACUUGCUAGCAAGCUAUCCUGUAUUUUAAAGAAGAAUCAAAUUUUGAGUUUAGUCAUAGAAGUUUACCGUUUACCUUUUAAAGCUCAAAUUUUUCAGUACUUGGAUUGAAAAGGGCGCACCAAAUGUGUUUUGGAUAUCAGGAUUCUUUUUUACGCAAUCCUUUUUGACAGGAGCUUCGCAAAAUUA
This 4940-nucleotide unclassified non-coding RNA is filed under the name Stegodyphus dumicola. RNAcentral describes it as "dynein heavy chain 3, axonemal-like, transcript variant X3". Lineage: Eukaryota; Metazoa; Arthropoda; Arachnida; Araneae; Eresidae. The record is from RNAcentral.